UACGUAGGGCGCAAGCGUUGUCCGGAAUUAUUGGGCGUAAAGAGCUCGUAGGCGGUUUGUCGCGUCUGCUGUGAAAGUCCGAGGCUCAACCUCGGAUCUGCAGUGGGUACGGGCAGACUAGAGUGUGGUAGGGGAGACUGGAAUUCCUGGUGUAGCGGUGAAAUGCGCAGAUAUCAGGAGGAACACCGGUGGCGAAGGCGGGUCUCUGGGCCGUAACUGACGCUGGAGGAGCGAAAGCCGUGGGGAGCGAACAGGA
Molecule: ribosomal RNA, 256 nt
Filed under: uncultured bacterium
Lineage: Bacteria
Description: partial 16S ribosomal RNA
Rfam family: Bacterial small subunit ribosomal RNA
Source: RNAcentral